GGCCCUGUGGCUUAGCCUGGUUAGAGCGCUGCUCUUAUAAAGCAGAGGUCGCGGAUUCAAAACAAGUGUCACGCCACAUGAAAGCGAAGGGAUUUCGCAUACGCUCAAUCUCACAAUCGUGACAAUUGGUGAAAGUUCCGCCAGGGCCA
Molecule: transfer RNA, 149 nt
Filed under: Nanobdellota archaeon
Lineage: Archaea; Nanobdellati; Nanobdellota
Description: tRNA-Ile
Rfam family: tRNA
About the family: Transfer RNA (tRNA) molecules are approximately 80 nucleotides in length. Their secondary structure includes four short double-helical elements and three loops (D, anti-codon, and T loops).
Source: RNAcentral